This 888-nucleotide long non-coding RNA is filed under the name Salvia miltiorrhiza (redroot sage). RNAcentral's name for it is "long non-coding RNA (SMIL_LNC009851)". The record is from RNAcentral. Lineage: Eukaryota; Viridiplantae; Streptophyta; Magnoliopsida; Lamiales; Lamiaceae.
CCUAAAAUCAUCUCCUAAUCCUGGGCACAACAGCAACCUCGACACAGAAACCAUGACAAGUUCUAGAAGAUCACCACAUGCAUGACAAAAUUCACAACAAAGAAUAAACUGUGUAUGAUAAACAGUUAUGGCUCAAAUCCUCACAGGUUUAUUCAACGUCUAAAAGUCAAGGUCAAAAUCACUCUAGAAUUAUGCAAAUUAGUUCUAAUUAUGCUUAAAUAAUCAAGAAAAUCAAACUCCAAAUUUUUUUCACAGAAAUCAUCAUUGGCAUCUCACCAGAAAUCUAAUGGAGCAAUAAUCAUCUCAAAAACAAAACAAACACACACCACCAACCAAGCAGGAUAAAACAAUAAAGCUAACAAAAAGAUAAAAGUGAUAUACAUAUCUACUCUCACCCCCCUCCCCCAAACUUAUUACAGAACAUAAGUUCAAAAAUAAGUUUGGAGGGAUGAUGAUAUGUGUGUCACUACUUACAGAAAAUUUAUGCUCCACGGUGGUGGUAUGAACAAGGCGCGAGUUCCCACAUCUUCAAAGCUCAACACUGCACUAAUACCCCGAAACGAAGAAAAUAAAGAAACAAAAAGAAACUAAACGAAAGGAAAAAAAAAACGGGAGCUCGACGAUACCUCAUGGCCUCAAUGAACAUCAAACGCAACGGGCGUGACAGACUUCCUCGUACGAAUAGAGACAAAGGACUCAUGCGCAUCAGCUGCAUGAAAGAUAGCGCUUCCAUUCGACACAUCUAUCAUAGCUCGUCCCGUAGCUAAGAAUGAUUGACCAAGAAUCAACGGCGGAUUUGCAUCUUCAGGAAUAUCGAGGACCAAGAAAUCCGUAGGGAAGACGAGCUUAUCAACCUUCACAAAGAUGUCUUCAAGCUUUCCUCUCGGC